CGAACCAUUGUGGUCGUUAUUGCUUUUAAAGUCUCCCUUUUUUUCCUUGUAAUCACACUCUUCAGCUCCACCCACUAGUCUCUCUUUCACUUUGAGUCAAGUCUUCAGCUCUCUCUCUCUCUCUCUCUGCAGAGUUACAGUCUUCAGCUCGACCCACCGAGAAAUUACCAAAAAGCAUAACCCAAUUAAUUAGCAAAAAAAAGGGGAAAAAGAAAAGAAAAGUGAAAAAACAGAGAAAAGAGAAUUGGUGGAAGAUUAAUAGUUGUUCACUUAUUCGACCCGAAACGCCGAAGUCUUCAUUUGGAAUAGAAGAUCCAACUUUCACUCUUCCAAAAGGUAAAAAUUUCCUCUUUUUUGUGUGUGUUGGGUUGUUUUUCUGGGUAUGUGUGCAUUCAUGUAGUCUGAAGCUUCUCUAUCAGUUGUUUAUUGCUUUUUUAGAUGGCUUUUGGUGCUUAUCGUGAACAAUAUUUCAAAAGGGCUUCCUUUUUUCGUUUUCUUGAAGUUUGGGUGUCUUGAUUGGGUGAAGGCCUUUUGUUCAUAGCUUGAUUUUGUGGUGUUUUUUAGUGGGUUUAACUUCAAAGUUUGGAUUUUGGGUUUUUCCUUUUCUGUUUGUUGUAGCGGAUGGUUUGCGUAGAUAUUUGUUCUUUUCUUAUAAGAUCGCAUUGAUUCCAUGAAAGGUAGAAUUUUGACGCUUCUAUUUGUCUGUAUAGUUUGUUUUUUCAUAUAUUUCCAUGCCUUAUAUUGUUUCGUAUGCUUGAAAUUUGCAUUCCUAUUUAGGGUUUCUCUGUAGUUCUUAGCACUUUACUUUAAAUUUCUUUUUCUGCAGAAUUGAAUGUUUAGUGUUUGAUCACCUUUAUUAUUACCAUUUAUGAGUGUUUUAUUAUAAGUGAUUUUCCCCUUUUGAUGUUUCAGGAAGUUAAGUAUGAGUCUUGUUAUGUACCAGCAAUCUUG
This 951-nucleotide long non-coding RNA is filed under the name Salvia miltiorrhiza (redroot sage). Its description in RNAcentral is "long non-coding RNA (SMIL_LNC008364)". The record is from RNAcentral. Lineage: Eukaryota; Viridiplantae; Streptophyta; Magnoliopsida; Lamiales; Lamiaceae.